AGGGAACUGGAGGUCGAUGUUCGAUCUCUGCCGGCCUUCAUGUAUUUGUUCAGGGAACUGCAGGUCGACCCCUUCUCGCCUUCCUUUCUCUAUUCCUGUUUCUUUGCAGUCCUAGGCUUGUAUUUGUGCGCCGGUGUAUCUUUGUUGUUUUCUUUGUCUGGGGAUGUUGUUGGGUUCAGUUGGUGUGCAGGUUAGGCACCGCUAGAUUCAAUUGGUAUGCAGGUUAGCCAAUGAUUGUAUCUCUUUGUUGUCUUCUUUCUGGUAGAGGCAAAAUGUAUUAUCCCUGGCUGGAUUUUUGUGGCCUCCUUUCCUUGUUUGUUCUUUUGUGGGUUACAGGUGUGUCCUUUUGUUUCUUGUGUAGAUCCUACUAGGGGUGAGUUUUUUUGUUUGUUUGCACAUGGAUGUUUGCUGCCCUUGUUCUUUGCUCUGAAUUGACAUGGCUGACUGAAUUAUUAGUGGCUACGAUUAUAGAUGUGCUGCUAGGAAGUUUUGAUUAAUAAACUGUGUGGGCUUUAGUUUAAUCUGGUCCAAGAUAUUGCUUUAGUGAUACUGCUGUUUGUGUUGAACAGGGUAUGGUAACUUAAUUUAGCCAUAUACUGAUUUAGGCUUGUGUUACUUUUCCUUGAUUUAGCUCUGCUCAUUUUUUGUAGUUGUAUGUUUGUUUUUCUUAUCUUUUCUUUUGUUUUCUUUUGACUUCUACAUCCAUGGAAUUAAUUUUGUAUGCUCAAAUGGGUGUAUAUAUUAUGGCAUAGAGUUACGGUGCAGCUGAUAUAUUAUUCUUAGCCUUUUCAUUUGUUACAUGUGGUUUGUUAUGUAAUCUAUUCACCGUGUGUUCCUAUUUAUCAGCUAAUACCAGAACACUUUAUCUUGCUUAAUCUGCAGGGUGAUGAUUGCAACAGGUAAAUGGCUUCUUAUGGUUCUCAGCAGCAAGAUGACCUGCCACAACCUGGAGGUGGAUAAAUUGGUUAAAAAACAUACACCCCUUUGGUUAGUUCCUCCGUUAUCCGGAGGAGGGAGGCAUGCUGAACAAGCAUGGUGGAUAGAUAGGUGUAAGUAAUCUUUAACGCGGUCCUAAUUUUGCUGGUUAUUUCAUUGUAAGGGUGUUAAAUUUUCUUGGAAUUACUUGGUGAUUUUCCUGUACUCACCUCUGUAGCUAUUCUCGCUGUCAUUUUUUUUGCCUUCGUAUCCAUGGUAACUUGUCCGAUGUUGGGGUUUCGAUCGGUUGCAAUUUUCUUCUUUGUCAAAGAUGAGUUAUUGUUGGAUAAUGUGCAUGUCAUGGUGGACAUCAAUUAUAAACUGCAAAUGAGAGCUACUAAUCUUAUUAUAGGUGUGGUACAGGUUAUAGCUCUUCAGUGCUUGCUGCACCUAUAUAUUUUUAGAGCAGAGGAGAUGGUACACCAUAUAGUUUGGUCGUGAGGUUUAUUUUUUACCACUGGCUAUGUAGGUUUUGUGCUAGAAUGCAUUCCGUACAAAACUAUUAGCUAUGCUUAAUUGUGUUUAGAAACUUCCUUGCAGCUCGUGCAUUGCAUAAUUUUAUAAUUAGCAAGAAUUUUACCUCCCUGGACUGAAUAAUUAGCUUCAAUUGUCUUGGAUAUGUUUCAGUCAUAUGAUAGUUAGGAGAUGCUUUGCCGCUUCAGUUGUGCCCCUUUUAAUUGGUAUUUUUGGAUGAAUAAAUGGAUAUUCUGAGGGAUGAAGGCUAAAACAUAUUCAUUUGUAUUAGAGUUGUAGUGUAUGAAUCUGGUGAGAGAUAAGGGCUGAAAUACAUUCGGUCGUCUUGGAGUUUCAGGUUUUUUGUGCAUUUGGUUCUGGUUGUUUUGAUCUGACUAAGUGACACCUAGGUUUCAUUGAUUUCUUGGGAUUGUUCAUUAUCUUGAUCCAUGCCUGGUACUGAAUCUGAAUGUUUUCAUCUCCGGUACCAUGGCACGGCAUUGGCGGCGGCAGUAGCUUAGGGAGGAAGAUGACACUGGCAACCUGCAGUGUAAGAGGCUGCCGAUGCCGCCGUUGGUGAAGAAGAUGCUAGGUUGCGUCAUUUUUGUGGGAAUAUUGUGGUGAAUUACAUAUUUAGAUUAUUGUAUGGUCACAGAAACCUAGAGAAGGAAACUGGCUUGGUGCUCUAGAGCCAGGUGUGUGCCCAGACAGCUGAAAAGCUAAUAGAACCACUAUAAAUCAAGGGACAACAAUCUUCACUGCCUAAUUCCCUUUGUAUUUAAAUCAUAAUUAUAUCUAUCAUCUCCUAACCAUCGGCUCAUGGGGACAGGACAUGAUCCAGGAGAUGUUCGUCAUGUCGAGCCUCCUAACCAUCGGCUCCAGCCAUCGGCAGCUAGAGUUCCUCGAUGGUUCAUGUGGCCUUAACCGCCGCUGGGCUCCCUGCGCCCACGCCUCAAUUCUUCUACCUCUUCUCAGGUAUAUUUUGUGUCUCCUUUUCCUUAUUUAUUUCUCUUCCAUGGUACUAUCGAUGUCUGCUGAUAUGUGUGUCCAUAUUUUCACUGAUGUCAUGUUUGCAGUAUAUGAGGUAGCUUUCCUGUUAAAAAAUGGCAUUGCAUGUCAUGUUUGCUCUAAGCAAAUCUUCCUAUUU
This 2575-nucleotide long non-coding RNA is filed under the name Triticum aestivum (bread wheat). RNAcentral's name for it is "long non-coding RNA (TAES_LNC028157)". The record is from RNAcentral. Lineage: Eukaryota; Viridiplantae; Streptophyta; Magnoliopsida; Poales; Poaceae.